ACGGGAGGCAGCAGUGGGGAAUAUUGGUCAAUGGGGGCAACCCUGAACCAGCGACGCCGUGUGAGUGAAGAAGUAUUUCGGUAUGUAAAGCUCUAUCAGCAGGGAAGAUAAUGACAGUACCUGACUAAGAAGCACCGGCUAAAUACGUGCCAGCAGCCGCGGUAAUACGUAUGGUGCAAGCGUUAUCCGGAUUUACUGGGUGUAAAGGGAGCGCAGGCGGUACGGCAAGUCUGAUGUGAAAGCCCGGGGCUCAACCCCGGUACUGCAUUGGAAACUGUCGAACUAGAGUGUCGGAGGGGUAAGUGGAAUUCCUAGUGUAGCGGUGAAAUGCGUAGAUAUUAGGAGGAACACCAGUGGCGAAGGCGGCUUACUGGACGAUAACUGACGCUGAGGCUCGAAAGCGUGGGGAGCAAACAGGAUUAGAUACCCUGGUA
This 434-nucleotide ribosomal RNA is filed under the name uncultured Lachnospiraceae bacterium. Its description in RNAcentral is "partial 16S ribosomal RNA". It matches the Rfam family "Bacterial small subunit ribosomal RNA", at positions 341 to 792 of the family's 1533-position model. Lineage: Bacteria; Bacillati; Bacillota; Clostridia; Lachnospirales; Lachnospiraceae. The record is from RNAcentral.